Molecule: ribosomal RNA, 900 nt
Filed under: Pseudomonas sp.
Lineage: Bacteria; Pseudomonadati; Pseudomonadota; Gammaproteobacteria; Pseudomonadales; Pseudomonadaceae
Description: bacterial SSU rRNA
Rfam family: Bacterial small subunit ribosomal RNA
Source: RNAcentral
CUAACAGCAUGCUACAGUCGAGCGGCAGCACGGGUACUUGUACCUGGUGGCGAGCGGCGGACGGGUGAGUAAUGCCUAGGAAUCUGCCUGGUAGUGGGGGAUAACGUUCGGAAACGAACGCUAAUACCGCAGACGUCCUACGGGAGAAAGCAGGGGACCUUCGGGCCUUGCGCUUUCAGAUGAGCCUAGGUCGGAUUAGCUAGUUGGUGAGGUAAUGGCUCACCAAGGCGACGAUCCGUAACUGGUCUGAGAGGAUGAUCAGUCACACUGGAACUGAGACACGGUCCAGACUCCUACGGGAGGCAGCAGUGGGGAAUAUUGGACAAUGGGCGAAAGCCUGAUCCAGCCAUGCCGCGUGUGUGAAGAAGGUCUUCGGAUUGUAAAGCACUUUAAGUUGGGAGGAAGGGCAGUUACCUAAUACGUAAUUGUUUUGACGUUACCGACAGAAUAAGCACCGGCUAACUCUGUGCCAGCAGCCGCGGUAAUACAGAGGGUGCAAGCGUUAAUCGGAAUUACUGGGCGUAAAGCGCGCGUAGGUGGUUCGUUAAGUUGGAUGUGAAAUCCCCGGGCUCAACCUGGGAACUGCAUUCAAAACUGUCGAGCUAGAGUAUGGUAGAGGGUGGGUGGAAUUUCCUGUGUAGCGGUGAAAUGCGUAGAUAUAGGAAGGAACACCAGUGGCGAAGGCGACCACCUGGACUGAUACUGACACUGAGGUGCGAAAGCGUGGGGAGCAAACAGGAUUAGAUACCCUGGUAGUCCACGCCGUAAACGAUGUCAACUAGCCGUUGGGAGCCUUGAGCUCUUAGUGGCGCAGCUAACGCAUUAAGUUGACCGCCUGGGGAGUACGGCCGCAAGGUUAAACUCAAAUGAAUUGACGGGGGCCCGCACAAGCGGUGGAAC